RNAcentral lists this transfer RNA (73 nucleotides) under Leptospiraceae bacterium. RNAcentral's name for it is "tRNA-His". It matches the Rfam family "tRNA". Rfam says of the family: Transfer RNA (tRNA) molecules are approximately 80 nucleotides in length. Their secondary structure includes four short double-helical elements and three loops (D, anti-codon, and T loops). The record is from RNAcentral. Lineage: Bacteria; Pseudomonadati; Spirochaetota; Leptospiria; Leptospirales; Leptospiraceae.
GUGGGCGUAGCUCAGUUGGUAGAGCACCAGAUUGUGGCUCUGGUGGUCGCGGGUUCAAAUCCCGUCGUUCACC